This 588-nucleotide ribosomal RNA is filed under the name Triticum aestivum (bread wheat). RNAcentral's name for it is "partial small subunit ribosomal RNA". Lineage: Eukaryota; Viridiplantae; Streptophyta; Magnoliopsida; Poales; Poaceae. The record is from RNAcentral.
AAAAAAGAGGGAGGGAACGUGAGGCCUAAUGCAAUGAUGAGAGAAUUUCAUAAUUGCUUAGGAGAAUGCGGUCUGGAAGAUAUGGCCUAUAUUGGUGGUCUCUUCACUUGGAGAAGAGGCGAGAUUAGAGAGAGACUUUAUCGUGGAGUUUGUAAUGUGGAGUGGGCGAAUAAAUUCCCUUGGGAUGCAAACAUAAACGAAGAACAUGUCCACUCUGAUCAUCGACCCCUCGUCUUGGAUACAGAAUAUUAUGACAGUCACAUGUUUAAUCAACCUGGAAGACAAGUGAAACAAUUUGAAGCUCGUUGGAUCACAGAAGAGACAGUGGUAGAAAUUGUAUGUACAGCAUGGGAAAAAGAGAAGAUGUUAGGCAUUGGACCGUCUCUCACUAAGUGUACAAGGGCGAUGCAUGCGGAUUUGCAUACAUGGGAUCGUGAUAUACUAAGGGGUCGAAAAGAAGAAUUAAAAGAACUCAAAAAAGAUGUAGAAAAUUUGCGAAGAGGACCUAUGAAUGCGCAAACUCAAGCACAGCAAAAGGAUACCCUAGUCCUUAUUGAAAAUCUUUUGGAACAAGAAGAAAUAUACUGA